RNAcentral lists this microRNA (22 nucleotides) under Schistosoma japonicum. Its description in RNAcentral is "miRNA-3009". Lineage: Eukaryota; Metazoa; Platyhelminthes; Trematoda; Strigeidida; Schistosomatidae. The record is from RNAcentral.
AAUUGAACUUGAUGGUGAAAUU